GAUGAACGUUGGCGGUGUGCCUAAUACAUGCAAGUCGAACGGAGCUAAUAGCAAUAUUGGCUUAGUGGCGAACGGGUGAGUAACGCGUUGGUGAUCUGCCUUGAAGUGUGGAAUAACGUUCCGAAAGGAUCGCUAAUACCGCAUGUGCUCUCGAUUUUCAGAAAGUUGAGAGUAAAGGAUUUAUUCGCUUCAAGAGGAGCCUGCGUCCCAUCAGCUGGUUGGUAGGGUAACGGCCUACCAAGGCUAUGACGGGUAGGGGACCUGAGAGGGUCGGCCCCCCACAAUGGAACUGAAACACGGUCCAUACACCUACGGGUGGCAGCAGUAGGGAAUAUUAGAAAUGGACGAAAGUCUGAUCUAGCAACACCGCGUGUGCGAAGAAGGCCUUCGGGUCGUAAAGCACUUUUUGGAAGGAAUAGGAAGGAAUGUACUUCCAGAAUAAGUCUCGGCUAACUACGUG
This 460-nucleotide ribosomal RNA is filed under the name uncultured bacterium. RNAcentral's name for it is "bacterial SSU rRNA". It matches the Rfam family "Bacterial small subunit ribosomal RNA", at positions 28 to 507 of the family's 1533-position model. The record is from RNAcentral.